This 445-nucleotide ribosomal RNA is filed under the name uncultured Myxococcales bacterium. Its description in RNAcentral is "bacterial SSU rRNA". It matches the Rfam family "Bacterial small subunit ribosomal RNA", at positions 523 to 966 of the family's 1533-position model. The record is from RNAcentral. Lineage: Bacteria; Pseudomonadati; Myxococcota; Myxococcia; Myxococcales.
AUACGAAGGGUGCAAGCGUUACUCGGAAUUACUGGGCGUAAAGCGAGCGCAGGCGGCUUAUUAAGUCGGGUGUGAAAGCCCGGGGCUCAACCCCGGAACUGCAUUCGAAACUGAUAAGCUAGAGGAUGAGAGAGGAAAGUAGAAUUUCUGGUGUAGAGGUGAAAUUCGUUGAUAUCAGAAGGAAUACCCGUGGCGAAGGCGGCUUUCUGGCUCAUUUCUGACGCUGAGGCUCGAAAGUGUGGGUAGCAAACAGGAUUAGAUACCCUGGUAGUCCACACCGUAAACGAUGAAUGCUAGUCGACCGGUUCGUUUACCGACUGGGUGACGCAGUUAACGCAUUAAGCAUUCCGCCUGGGGAGUACGGUCGCAAGAUUAAAACUCGAAGGAAUUCGACGGGGCCCGCACAAGCGGUGGAGCAUGUGGUUUAAUUCGAAGCAACGCGCAG